UUUCCUUGAAGGGGUCAAGGGGACGUGGACGUGAAACCUCUCCCUUCACAACCACGGUGGUAGCAAAGGGUCUCACAGUCGGGGGUGACUUGGGAGGAGACACAGGCGGUGGUGUAACAGGCAGAGGUGACUGUAGCUGCUGAAAGGAGAAGUGCCACAGAAGCUUCGCGAGAAGCGGCAUCCCCAGAUCGUCACUCAGAAAAUGGCCGGAAAGUCCCCAGCGGACCUUCCAUCAUCAGACCACCCCGAGACAAUUGCUAUGAAGGCUGAAGCAAGCAUGAACUAUCACAUCUGUGUAGACGAAAUCUACACCAGGGAACAGAAGGUGGACCAUGCGUACUGGUUCGGUAUGCUGGUGUGCGAAAAGACCAUCCACUACACCGAGCGGGAGAAGGCACACAUAAAACAAGUGGAAUUCCUUCGGAGGGAGGUUGAAAGACGUGGCAAAAUUAUCCACCGAUUGGAACUGGACCUGGCGGCAUCCGAGGCCAGCUUGUCUGCCUCGCAGACAAAUCUGGACGCCACACAAAAUGGUAAAAAAAAAAUGCAGAUUAACCAACAUGUGAAAACUCAUUUAUUACCAACGCAACCAACCGACUCAUUUAUUAACCUAGCUUACAAAAUGUGCAUCCCAAUCCAAAGGAUGAUUACAAAUGGAAUAUUAACAUUUCUUUCCUUCAUAUCUAGAACUGGAUGACCUCCAACUUAUCAACGCCUCCCAAGGUAAUGCAAAUUACCCAACAACAUGUGUUUUAAUUUGGUUAGAGAUUUCAAGCCUUAUGAUUUUACCUAUUAGACUAUACUCUACAAAUUAACCUAGCGUACACAAGCAAACAAAUGCAUACCCAUCCAAAUUACUAAUUAAUAUUAACAUUUGCUUUCAUUUCCGCAAAUUAACCUAGCGUACACAAGCAAACAAAAGCAUACCCAUCCAAAUUACUAAUUAAUAUUAACAUUUGCUUUCAUUUCUAGAACACGACAACCAGAACCGCACAACCGCCUCCCAAGGUAUGACUAUACAUGGUGUUAAUAUGGAUUUGAUUUGUCAACGGAUACUGAUUCCUCCCAUCAGAGAUUGUCUUCAGAUUCCUCCCAUCAGAGAUUGUCUUCAAAUAUGGAUUUGAUCAGUCAUGUAUAACACCUAUUAGCCAAAUGUAAAAAAUAAUGGAAACGAUCUUUCCUCCCAUCAGAUACGGAUUCGUCCCGGCCAUUGUGUUCGACAAUGAUUGACGACAUGGACGAGAACGGGAACGGAGGUACACCUUCAUCUUUCAAAUGUCGUGGUUAUAAAAAAACAUGCAGGCUUUAUGUCCAUGUGCUCGGUAUACUGAUACUUUUUUCUUUACAUUUUGCAGAUCCACUACCAGGCCCCUGAAAACACUCCAGGCCCCUGUAAAUCGAAGAUAUUGUAAAUAGUGUGAUUCUUUUUAUAUAGUGUGGUGUUGUAAAUAGUGUGUUUUUUUUUAAUUGUAUACUCCAAUAAAAACUCAAACAUCUGAUAUUGUUUCAUAUUUACACAAAUUGCCCAUGCAAAAACGAAUGUUUCACAAUUCGUGUUCUUUUCUGUACUUGUGUGCCUGCGCUGGAACCGUCAAAUAUCCCAUGACGCAUAGGCUAUAUAGGGAC
Molecule: long non-coding RNA, 1626 nt
Organism: Gadus morhua (Atlantic cod)
Lineage: Eukaryota; Metazoa; Chordata; Actinopteri; Gadiformes; Gadidae
Source: Ensembl